CCCUUAGAUGUUCUGGGCCGCACGCGCGCUACACUGACAAAGUCAACGAGUAUUCUCCCUUGACCGGAAGGUCUGGGUAAUCUUGUGAAACUUUGUCGUGCUGGGGAUAGUUCAUUGCAAUUAUUGAUCUUAAACGAGGAAUUCCUAGUAAGCGUGAGUCAUCAGCUCGCGUUGAUUACGUCCCUGCCCUUUGUACACACCGCCCGUCGCUACUACCGAUUGAAUGGUUUAGUGAGGCCUCGGGACUGGAGCUCACGAGGUGGCGACACCACGUCUGCACCGGGAACUUGGACAAACUUGAUCAUUUAGAGGAAGUAAAANUCGUANCA
Molecule: ribosomal RNA, 329 nt
Filed under: uncultured eukaryote
Lineage: Eukaryota
Description: partial 18S ribosomal RNA
Rfam family: Eukaryotic small subunit ribosomal RNA
Source: RNAcentral